This 105-nucleotide ribosomal RNA is filed under the name Salmonella enterica subsp. enterica serovar Infantis. Its description in RNAcentral is "partial 23S ribosomal RNA". It matches the Rfam family "Bacterial large subunit ribosomal RNA", at positions 1 to 104 of the family's 2925-position model. Lineage: Bacteria; Pseudomonadati; Pseudomonadota; Gammaproteobacteria; Enterobacterales; Enterobacteriaceae. The record is from RNAcentral. RNAcentral also lists the same sequence under 17 other names.
GGUUAAGCGACUAAGCGUACACGGUGGAUGCCCUGGCAGUCAGAGGCGAUGAAGGACGUGCUAAUCUGCGAUAAGCGCCGGUAAGGUGAUAUGAACCGUUAUAAC